This 243-nucleotide long non-coding RNA is filed under the name Carica papaya (papaya). RNAcentral's name for it is "long non-coding RNA (CPAP_LNC005261)". The record is from RNAcentral. Lineage: Eukaryota; Viridiplantae; Streptophyta; Magnoliopsida; Brassicales; Caricaceae.
UACCCAUUAUAAGACCUACUUGAGACUACUGAGCUCUCAAACGAAGUAAAUGUGAACCUCGACUAAUAUCAUGAGAAAAAGAAUUACCCUUGCCUAAGGCUACUACGGAUAUGUUAAUGUUUGCACAAGGGUUAUUCAAACAGUGAUGUCAUGUAGCAAUUUUGCGGACACCAACUAAGCCUUGUCUAAAGGGUGUAUUCUAUUUGCUCAAGUGCUUUGACCCAAGUGGAUCGUAUAAGCCUU